This 810-nucleotide ribosomal RNA is filed under the name Ralstonia solanacearum. Its description in RNAcentral is "bacterial SSU rRNA". It matches the Rfam family "Bacterial small subunit ribosomal RNA", at positions 101 to 908 of the family's 1533-position model. The record is from RNAcentral. Lineage: Bacteria; Pseudomonadati; Pseudomonadota; Betaproteobacteria; Burkholderiales; Burkholderiaceae.
AACGGGUGAGUAAUACAUCGGAACGUGCCCUGUAGUGGGGGAUAACUAGUCGAAAGACUAGCUAAUACCGCAUACGACCUGAGGGUGAAAGUGGGGGACCGCAAGGCCUCAUGCUAUAGGAGCGGCCGAUGUCUGAUUAGCUAGUUGGUGGGGUAAAGGCCCACCAAGGCGACGAUCAGUAGCUGGUCUGAGAGGACGAUCAGCCACACUGGGACUGAGACACGGCCCAGACUCCUACGGGAGGCAGCAGUGGGGAAUUUUGGACAAUGGGGGCAACCCUGAUCCAGCAAUGCCGCGUGUGUGAAGAAGGCCUUCGGGUUGUAAAGCACUUUUGUCCGGAAAGAAAUCGCACUGGUUAAUACCUGGUGUGGAUGACGGUACCGGAAGAAUAAGGACCGGCUAACUACGUGCCAGCAGCCGCGGUAAUACGUAGGGUCCAAGCGUUAAUCGGAAUUACUGGGCGUAAAGCGUGCGCAGGCGGUUGUGCAAGACCGAUGUGAAAUCCCCGGGCUUAACCUGGGAAUUGCAUUGGUGACUGCACGGCUAGAGUGUGUCAGAGGGAGGUAGAAUUCCACGUGUAGCAGUGAAAUGCGUAGAGAUGUGGAGGAAUACCGAUGGCGAAGGCAGCCUCCUGGGAUAACACUGACGCUCAUGCACGAAAGCGUGGGGAGCAAACAGGAUUAGAUACCCUGGUAGUCCACGCCCUAAACGAUGUCAACUAGUUGUUGGGGAUUCAUUUCCUUAGUAACGUAGCUAACGCGUGAAGUUGACCGCCUGGGGAGUACGGUCGCAAGAUUAAAACUCAAAGGA